Long non-coding RNA from Neopelma chrysocephalum (saffron-crested tyrant-manakin), 177 nucleotides. RefSeq lists it as uncharacterized. The record is from RefSeq and is a predicted model, not a curated record. Lineage: Eukaryota; Metazoa; Chordata; Aves; Passeriformes; Pipridae. The transcript is spliced from 3 exons.
UGUGUUUAGAAACAGAAGAGGCCAUCCUUUGAGGAAACCACCCGGAGCUGACCCUCCUCAGGCUCCUUCUCUUCCUUCGCUUUAUGAGGAUCCAGAGGAGGAAGACAACAACGAAGCUCCACCUGUUGUUGGACCAGAGCCUGAACAUCCAAAAUCUACCAAUACAUGCUCUGGAAC